CCCAUUCCCAUUCCCGGUCCCCUCACCGGACGCUCCGCCCCCCGGCCCUGACGUCACCGAGCAAACCCCGCGCUCCUCCCGCCCACCAAUCCCAGCGCGCGAUCGCUCCUACAUUUGCAUAACCACGCCCAUUGAGGCUGGCCCCGCCCGCCGCCGGGCGCUGUUCGCUCCCAGUUCCCUCCCAGCGCUCCCAGUGAGAGCGGCACCGGCAGGGAAAGCGCUCCCAGUUCCCUCCCAGCGCUCCCAGUGAGAGCGGCACCGGCAGGGAAAGCGCUCCCAGUUCCCUCCCAGCUCUCCCAGUAACAGGGGCACCGGCAGGGAAAGCGCUCCCAGUUCCCUCCCAGCGCUCCCAGUAACAGCGGCACCGGCAGGGAAAGCGCUCCCAGUUCCCUCCCAGCGCUCCCAGUAACAGGGGCACCGGCAGGGAAAGCGCUCCCAGUUCCCUCCCAGCGCUCCCAGUAUCGUUCCCAGUGCAAAGAGGGAGAGAAGGAGGAGCGAGAGGAAGAGGAGGGACAGAGGAGGGAGGAAAGGAGGAGCAGGAGGGAGAGAGGGAGGAGGAGAAAGAGGAAGAGGAGGGACACAGGAGGAGGGAGACGGGACCAGGAGGAGGAACAGGAGGGACGGAGGAAGAGGAGGAACGGGAGGAAGAGCAGCAGCAUCAUUGCCCCCCGGACCCCGCGGGCUCCUCGGCUGCUCGGCGGGAGAACAGGAGAUCCCAGCGCCAGGGUUCCUCGGGAGGUGUCGGGGCUGGAAGGGGCGCCGGCUGCUCCGGCAGCACCAGCGGAGCGCUCAGCCCUCGCUGUGCCCCGCGCCGGGAUCGCCCCGCGCCGCAGCUCGGCCCCAGCGAGGAGGAGGAGGAGGCUGCGAGGAAGAGGAGCAGGGCCCGGGAGCCGCAGGCAGGUGAGGAGGAAGUCAGGGCGCCUUUGCCCGCUCUGUGCUGCUCCAUGUGCCAGCCCGGCCCUGGGGGCAUCUCCUGCUCCUGCCCUGUGGGGUGGGGCAAAUCCCGUCCUGAACUUGUGGGGCAAAUCCUGAACUUGUGGGGGCAAAUCCUGUCCUGAACUUGUGGGGCAAAUCCUGAACUUGUGGGGCAAAUCCUGUCCUUGUGGGGCAAAUCCCGUCCUGAACUUGUGGGGCAAAUCCCGUCCUGAGCUUGUGGGGCAAAUCCCUCCUGAACUUGUGGGGGCAAAUCCUGAACUUGUGGGGGCAAAUCCUGUCCUGAACUUGUGGGGGCAAAUCCUGUCCUGAAUUUGUGGGGGCAAAUCCUGAAUUUGUGGGGGCAAAUCCUGAACUUGUGGGGCAAAUCCUGAACUUGUGGGGCAAAUCCCGUCCUGAACUUGUGGGGCAAAUCCUGAACUUGUGGGGCAAAUCCUGAACUUGUGGGGGCAAAUCCCAUCCCGUCCUUGUGGGGCAAAUCCCGUCCUUGUGGGGCAAAUCCCGUCCUUGUGGGGCAAAUCCCAUCCUGAACUUGUGGGGCAAAUCCCAUCGUGUCCUUGUCCUCAUGGGAGCAAAUUAAUUGCGAAUUAAUUGAAGAAUACAUGAGCAUGAUUUUUCAUAGAGAGAUGUCUCAGGACAGGAUGGGAAAAACUCGGAAGAACAGCUUGGAAAAUCUCUUUGGAGAGACAACUCACUCUUAUUCAAGCUGCCUUUUAUUCAAGGAUCUCAGCGAGUUGAACUCUUCAAGCUCAUGGAGUCUCCCAAUUAAUUUGCAAUUAAUUUGCCUCCGUGAGGACAAGGACACGAUGGGAUUUGCCCCAUAAGUUCAAGGACAGGAUGGGAUUUGCCCCACAAGUUCAGGAUUUGCCCCACAAGGACAGGAUUUGCCCCACAAGGACAGGAUGGGAUUUGCCCCACAAGGACAGGAUGGGAUUUGCCCCACAAGUUCAGGAUUUGCCCCACAAGGACAAUCACACGAUGGAAAAACUCGGAAAAACAGCUUGGAAAAUCUCUUUGGGGAGACAACUCACUUUUAUUCACGCUGCCUCCCAGUCCCGUGGACUUUCGCAGGACAUCUUUUCAUGAACAAUCCUUUCCUUGGGAUUUUUCCUCCCGAGAAGCCGAGGGGCCUCAGGAACAAGAUGUAAACAUUGGUUAUCUGCUGCUGUGGAAUGCAGCAGGUGCGCCUGUGAUUGGCCCGUCUCGGAUGUUUAUAAUUAAUGGCCAAUGACAGGGAGCUGGCUGAGACACAGAGUCCGAGACAGAGCCUUUGUUAUCGUUCCUUUCUGUUCUUAGCUGAGCCAGCCUGCUGAUGGAAUAUCCUUUCUUCUGUUCUUUUGGUGCAGUUUUAAUGGCGUAGAGAUGAGAAAAUAAUAAUUCAAGCCUUCUGAAACGUGGAGUCGGAGCCUGCGUCUCUUCCCUCAACAUAAGAGCCCUGUGAGCACGGUCACGCCCAUCCUGAACUCGUGGGGCAAAUCCUGUCCUUGUGGGGGUAAAUCCCAUCCUGUCCUUGUGGGGCAAAUCCCAUCCUGUCCUUGUGGGGGUAAAUCCUGUCCUUGUGGGGCAAAUCCUGUCCUCGUGGGGGCAAAUCCCAUCCUGAACUCGUGGGGCAAAUCCUGUCCUUGUGGGGGCAAAUCCCAUCCUGUCCUUGUGGGGCAAAUCCUGUCCUUGUGGGGCAAAUCCUGUCCUUGUGGGGUGGGUAAAUCCUGUCCUUGUGGGGCAAAUCCUGUCCUUGUGGGGGCAAAUCCUGUCCUUGUGGGGCAAAUCCCAUCCUGUCCUUGUGGGGCAAAUCCUGUCCUUGUGGGGGUAAAUCCCAUCCUGUCCUUGUGGGGGUAAAUCCCAUCCUGUCCUUGUGGGGGUAAAUCCUGUCCUUGUGGGGUAAAUCCCUCCUUGUGGGGCAAAUCCUGUCCUUGUGGGGGUAAAUCCCUGUCCUUGUGGGGGUAAAUCCCAUUCUGUCCUUGUGGGGCAAAUCCCUGGGGGGGGGGUAAAUCCCAUUCUGUCCUUGUGGGGGUAAAUCCUGUCCUUGUGGGGGUAAAUCCUGUCCUUGUGGGGCAAAUCCCAUCCUGUCCUUGUGGGGCAAAUCCUGUCCUUGUGGGGCAAAUCCCAUCCUGUCCUUGUGGGGCAAAUCCUGUCCUUGUGGGGGUAAAUCCCAUCCUGUCCUUGUGGGGUAAAUCCUGUCCUUGUGGGGGUAAAUCCUGUCGUUGUGGGGCAAAUCCCAUUCUGUCCUUGUGGGGCAAAUCCUGUCCUUGUGGGGGCAAAUCCCAUCCACUUGGGGCAAAUCCCCUUGUGGGGCAAAUCCCAUCCUGAACUCGUGGGGCAAAUCCUGUCCUUGUGGGGGCAAAUCCCAUCCUGAACUCGUGGGGCAAAUCCUGUCCUUGUGGGGGUAAAUCCUGUCCUUGUGGGGCAAAUCCCAUCCUGUCCUUGUGGGGCAAAUCCCAUCCUGAACUUGUGGGGUAAAUCCUGUCCUUGUGGGGCAAAUCCCAAAUCCCAUACUGAACUUGUGGGGCAAAUCCCAAAUCCCAUCCUGUCCUUGUGGGGCAAAUCCCAUCCUGUCCUUGUGGGGCAAAUCCCAUCCUGUCCUUGUGGGGCAAAU
This 3526-nucleotide long non-coding RNA is filed under the name Camarhynchus parvulus. Its description in RNAcentral is "lncRNA (ENSCPVG00000017887.1)". The record is from RNAcentral. Lineage: Eukaryota; Metazoa; Chordata; Aves; Passeriformes; Thraupidae.